AACGAACGCUGGCGGCAUGCCUAACACAUGCGAGUCGAACGAGACCUUCGGGUCUAGUGGCGCACGGGUGCGUAACGCGUGGGAACCUGCCCUUAGGUUCGGAAUAACUCCCCGAAAGGGGUGCUAACACCGGAUAAUGUCUUCGGACCAAAGAUUUAUCGCCUUUGGAUGGGCCCGCGUUGGAUUAGCUAGUUGGUAGGGUAAAAGCCUACCAAGGCGACGAUCCAUAGCUGGUCUGAGAGGAUGAUCAGCCACACUGGGACUGAGACACGGCCCAGACUCCUACGGGAGGCAGCAGUGGGGAAUAUUGGACAAUGGGCGAAAGCCUGAUUCAGCAAUGCCGCGUGAGUGAUGAAGGCAUUAGGGUUGUAAAGCUCUUUUACCCGGGAUGAUAAUGACAGUACCGGGAGAAUAAGCUCCGGCUAACUCCGUG
Molecule: ribosomal RNA, 433 nt
Filed under: uncultured bacterium
Lineage: Bacteria
Description: partial 16S ribosomal RNA
Rfam family: Bacterial small subunit ribosomal RNA
Source: RNAcentral